CUGAAAUUGUAUUCUGAUCUGAUCAACUGCAAGAUGAAGGUUGUAUUUCUAAUCCUCUCCAUCCUUCUCCUCAUCAACUCAACACAAUCCUUCUUAUUUCCGCAGCAGCAGUGCAUUUCUACAGUCGGAGCACCGUGCAGACUUCCAACACCAAAUACACCUAUGAGUGCUCAGUGUUGUCAGAACUUAAAUUUAGUUUGCGCAGAUCCUAGCCCACCAGCUGAUCCGGAUGCACC
This is a long non-coding RNA of Eurytemora carolleeae, 236 nucleotides long. RefSeq lists it as uncharacterized. Lineage: Eukaryota; Metazoa; Arthropoda; Copepoda; Calanoida; Temoridae. The transcript has 2 exons. The record is from RefSeq and is a predicted model, not a curated record.